This 526-nucleotide non-coding RNA is filed under the name Pan troglodytes (chimpanzee). The record is from RNAcentral. Lineage: Eukaryota; Metazoa; Chordata; Mammalia; Primates; Hominidae.
GGCGUGGUGUCUGGCAGGCAUGUGGGAGUCUCGGGGGCUGCAGCUCAGGACCCUACCCCCAGCACUCACCUGAGGCCCGACCUCCAAGCAGGCCUGGGAGGGAAGGGCUGUAUACCGUUGCCAUGGAUACCAGCACCCAGAAGGGGUGGGGCUGUUUGUUACCAGGAGCCUCCAGGGAGACCCCAGACCACGCCCCUGGAGACAGGGUCUUGCUCUGCUGUCCAGGCUGGAAUGCUUCGGUGUGAUGACAGCUCCCGUUAACGUCGAAUUCCUGGGCUCAAGUGAUCCUCCCACUUCCGCCUCCUGACUUGCUGAAACUACAGGCACCUGCCUCCACCGCCAGGCCCAGCCCACAGCUCCUUUGACCUCAGUGACAGGCACUCACCUACCUGACCCCCAAACUGAAGCCUCACCUUUCCCAGCCGUCUCCACACCCUCUGGGCUACCCCAUUACCAUGACAAGUAUUCCCUCUGCUCCAGGAGAAAAGCGAGGUCCCAGACCUGACCCAUAAAACCCAAUCAUUCC